UCGGACAGCUCCGGCCACGCCCCCAGGGCGAGAGCCCGCAGCCAAUGAGCUCCUAGAGGCCGGCUGGGAGCCGCGCCGGCCAAUCGCAGGGGCCUAGGACGCCUUGAAUCUCCGGGCAAGUUAAGUUUAUCUCCGAGGCUCCGAACUGAAGGGAGAUGGCGGGUUAGUUAGGUAAUGGAGUGGGAGGGAAUACGGUUUGCUCUGCUCCACCAAUAAGAAAAGGAGGGUGUGUCGCAUGCAAAUAUAUGAUGCUUAGCCCCACCCCCAGUGCAAGCCACGCCCCCUCCUCUAGGUCCCUGCUGAAAUGGUGGGGAGAGUGAGGUAAAUAGCUGGGAGCUAUGGCUCACUAGAGUGUAAGACUGAGGUGAACAUUUUCCUCAUCCCUUGAGAAAGAGGGACAGAGGGGCAGGUUAAACAAUCCUUCCGUCGGCCAGUGCUUAAGCUUUCUCUCGGCCACAGUCUAAGUUUAGCUGUAAAGAACACUGCAGUCAUGUAGCAGUUUGCAUACAGGGAUCUCAAAGAACUUUAUGCAUCAUUUAUUGUGAGCCUUGUUUUGCGGAAACACCAGUUCCCUGAGGCUUGGGAAGGGUAGGAGGUGAAAUGUCUGAGGUAUAUUUGUAGAAUUCCUGGGGGGCCGGGGGGGGGGUAGCACAAAACCUCCGGUUUAGCGGUUUCCUCCUCUAUCCGAAGCACCUUCUCUCAGUCCUCUCAGGGAUGAAAGUUGCUUUAAAAUGUACCCAGCACAAAAGGGCCAGAGGGGUUUGUCCUCUCACCCAAAAGUGCUUCCUGAGGCAGCUGCUUGGAAGCACGCAGAGCACGGAGCCCUGCUUGGGAAGGAAGGUUCAGGGAACAGAUUGCCGUUGAAAACUAUUAGGCCAGACCUGCCUCUUCCAAAGCUAAAAAUGAUGAAGAAAGAUGGUCUUCUCUAGAAUUUGAAUUUGCAGGUAUAUACAGGACGAGCAGUAUGCCAUGUCACUGAAAAUGGAAAAUAGAAUAUCCACAGCAAAGGUGACCCCAGAGAGGCCAUACACAUUGUGGGAUCCUGACAAAGGUUCAAAGCAUCAACCUGAAAAAGCCACAACCAUUGAUAGAAGCCACUAAUUUGACCCGAAGUAAUCUGUGGUGUUUUCUGUGCUUCUGAAGGUGUAGAUUUCAACGUCUGCAACGUUACAUUCAUGAGUCUGCUAAAUUUGAAACUGAGCACUGCAAAACAAGUAGAUACCUUUUCUUCUGGUAUGCUGGGGGAAAAACUGAGAUUAAUUCAACCCAAACUGGUACUUAGUCAUGAAGGAGUUUGCUUAAACUGUUUUACUUUUUCUUUUUGUAUUCUUGAUACAAUACGAUGGAUACAGAUUAUUUUCUCACAGUACUUAUCACCUGCUUUGUGAUUGUUUUUUUUUAUGUGGCUGCCUUCUCCAUGAGAUUAUAGGCUCCAUGAGGACAGUUUUCCUUAUCAUGAUAUCCUCAAUACAAUAAUUUUGGGGAAGAAAUGAAUAAAGAAAUUUCCAAUGCUGAAAAGUCUUCUGUUCUAUGUCAUAGAAAUAAUGAAUUCUUGUCAGGCAGUGAAACUAUGAAGAUCCAAGCAGUGUGGAAUGAAGCCAGUUUCAGAGACAACAUUUUGCUGAAAUGGAGAGUGAUCUGUGUGUGCCUAAGUCACACACAGGAAGCAGGAGACCCAAGGAUCACGGCCCCACAACGUCCCCGAAGGGCAAAGAGGCAACUUUGGGAAAAUGAGAGAAGCAUGCAAAGUGCAUGAAAUCAGCUGUUUACAUCGUGAAACAUAAGUCACAGUGCUAUGUGUUUGGAGGCUGCAGUCUCAAAGAUCAAAAGAGAAAAUAAAAGCCUACACCUCCAUGCACGAGUGA
Molecule: long non-coding RNA, 1865 nt
Organism: Microcebus murinus (gray mouse lemur)
Lineage: Eukaryota; Metazoa; Chordata; Mammalia; Primates; Cheirogaleidae
Source: RefSeq, a predicted model, not a curated record